This 73-nucleotide transfer RNA is filed under the name Planococcus versutus. Its description in RNAcentral is "tRNA-Gly". It matches the Rfam family "tRNA". From Rfam's summary of the family: Transfer RNA (tRNA) molecules are approximately 80 nucleotides in length. Their secondary structure includes four short double-helical elements and three loops (D, anti-codon, and T loops). Lineage: Bacteria; Bacillati; Bacillota; Bacilli; Caryophanales; Caryophanaceae. The record is from RNAcentral.
GCGGGUGUAGUUUAGUGGUAAAACCUCAGCCUUCCAAGCUGAUGAUGGGGUUCGAUUCCCCCCACCCGCUCCA